UUUCUUGAAGCUGGCAUUUGUGCAAGUCUACAGAUGCAUGCUCUUUUCCAGCUGCAGCUGCGCCAAUGAGAAGGUAAGUGCCCCAGCCCGCUCCUCCCGCUAAUGCUGGAAGUUAUCACCCUCUCUGAUCUGCUGGCCAGGCUCCUCAUGUGACUUUCCAGAACUUGUUUCAGUCGAAAUAAGCUGCUGUAACAGUGGCCAUUCUUUAAAUUCUUAAAAUUGACUCAUCUCAUUUUAGUGGAUGUUGGUUAGAGGCCACAGAGAGAAGGUGACGAGUGCAUACGGACAAGGUGCCACUUCAGUAACCUCUUCAACUGGUGCAGCUACAUCCUGAAAAGAAACAAGCCUAACAACGAUGUUUCCCAGCAGUCAAAAGUGUGCAGAAUCUGGCUGAAGGAAAAAGUGGGUGCUCUGAACUUCCAGCUGAAAACAGCCUGCCCUACACAGCUAAGUAAACUGUUAUUGUCAAGAAUGUGGGCACUCUCCAUUUUAUGCCAGGCUGUGUGCACGCUCCCUGCUAAAGCAUUUCCUUUAGCAAAACAAAUAAGCACCACAACGACAAAUACUACAACAAUCGGUCAAUUGAGAGACUGAAACACUACUUUGCCACAGUGAAUUUUCCACAUGAAAAACUCAGGGCCUGAAGAGAUGCUUUUACCGCAUCUUAUGUCAGCACCAUAUUUUCCCCGUGAUCCAGACCUCACAAGCAUUGCUUCUUAAAUUUCAGAAAACAGACAAGUUUUUAUGGUAACAUAUUAUAAUAUGUUUAAAUCUGCUCUCAUUCUCUCUUGCAUGACAUAAAUCAAGAAUCCUAUUGUUUUCUCCUGGUGGAAGCAUGGUCCUACCUGAAGAAGGCAGCAGGGUAUUUGCUCUGAUGGUCUUUCUAUACUUUGCAGAAGAAAAACAUCUCAAACAGAGCUGGAUGUCUAGGAACAAAGCAGAGAUUUCAGGCCAUGAGCCAUUGCCACCUAGUUUGUAUCACUCACUUAGAAAGUGUCACAAGGCACAGUGAUAUUUUUGCUCUCUUAAAAGAAAUGCACAUUAAAAUGGUACAUUCCCUAGUUAGUGAACAACCGUAUGAAAAAGUGUUCUUCUCUCCCCAGCUAGCAGCAGUGGCUCUGUGGUCAUUUGGUCUUCUUCUGUCUAAAAAACUACAGUACAUUCCUUAGUCCCAGCCACCUUGACCGCUGUCAGAGGAGAUGAGAUCAUUUAUACCACCAGUAAUGAUGUCUGCAGAAGCUCUUCUUUAGUGCCAGGUCAUAGUGCUGGUCUGGAUGAACUACGAAAAGGAUCUACAAACCAUUUAAACUUCUUACUGUUUUAAUUGGCUAUUAGAUAUAAGCCUUCACUCUCUUUCUUUGGCUUCUUCCUGAUAAAAGAAGAGAGGACCCUGUUGAGCUAUCUUGGUGGAGGAAGAUUGCACGAAAGCAGAAUUUUGCAAAAAAUCAUUAAAGAGAGAACUUAGAGCAAGAAGUGAGAGGAAAAAAAAAGAAAUAAAAUAGAAAUCUGAGGGAAGAGGAUGAAAAGGUAGAUCUGCAAACAUAAGACCAGUGGAA
Long non-coding RNA from Cygnus olor (mute swan), 1556 nucleotides. RefSeq lists it as uncharacterized. NCBI's taxonomy places the organism in Eukaryota, Metazoa, Chordata, Aves, Anseriformes, Anatidae. The record is from RefSeq and is a predicted model, not a curated record. The transcript is spliced from 3 exons.